AUCGUUGUCAUCAGUGCACUGGUUUCUGUCUCAUACACACCACUCAUAGCCCCAAGCAUGGAUGUGCAAGAAUAAACUAUUGAAAGAGCUUUUGUGCGCAAAUAGUUGUCAUAUAUCUGAGGGGAAGAUACAAUUGUGUGCAAGCAUGGAAACAAAACAGGGACUAGUGUUGGCACCAUUGUAUCAUCCAAGUCUCCAGAAAGAAGAGCCAAGCACCUUAGAGCUCCAUGUACUCUAUUCAUAUUGGUUUGAUCAGUAAUCAACUUCAAAAGGGAAGGCAAUAGGUCAGGCCAACCCUCAGGCCAGUCAUACAGAGCAACUGAUGCUAUAGCCAUACUAAUUGCUGUGCAGAUUUUUCUGUAAGAAUCAUCCAAUGAAGCUAAAAGAAGU
Molecule: unclassified non-coding RNA, 390 nt
Filed under: Hevea brasiliensis (rubber tree)
Lineage: Eukaryota; Viridiplantae; Streptophyta; Magnoliopsida; Malpighiales; Euphorbiaceae
Source: RNAcentral